GUGCCAGCCGCCGCGGUAAUACGGAGGGGGCUAGCGUUGUUCGGAAUUACUGGGCGUAAAGCGCACGUAGGCGGACCGUUAAGUCAGGGGUGAAAUCCCGGGGCUCAACCCCGGAACUGCCUUUGAUGCUGGCGGUCUAGAGUUCUGGAGAGGUGAGUGGAAUUCCGAGUGUAGAGGUGAAAUUCGUAGAUAUUCGGAGGAACACCAGUGGCGAAGGCGGCUCACUGGCCAGACACUGACGCGGAGGUGCGAAAGCGUGGGGAGCAAACAGGAUUAGAUACCCUGGUAGUCCACGCCCUAAACGAUGAAUGCCAGACGUCUGGCAGCAUGCUGUUCGGUGUCGCACCUAACGGAGUAAGCAUUCCGCCUGGGGAGUACGGCCGCAAGGUUAAAACUUAAAUGAAUUGGCGGGG
RNAcentral lists this ribosomal RNA (413 nucleotides) under uncultured prokaryote. RNAcentral describes it as "bacterial SSU rRNA". It matches the Rfam family "Bacterial small subunit ribosomal RNA", at positions 505 to 918 of the family's 1533-position model. The record is from RNAcentral.